Molecule: ribosomal RNA, 823 nt
Filed under: Planopleura kaempferi
Lineage: Eukaryota; Metazoa; Arthropoda; Insecta; Hemiptera; Cicadidae
Description: SSU rRNA
Rfam family: Eukaryotic small subunit ribosomal RNA
Source: RNAcentral
UGCAAGUCUCAGUACAUGCCGCACUAAGGUGAAACCGCAAAAGGCUCAUUAAAUCAGUUAUGGUUCCUUGGAUCUUAAACAGUUACUUGGAUAACUGUGGUAAUUCUAGAGCUAAUACAUGCAAACAAGUCCCGACCAGAGAUGGGAGGGACGCUUUUAUUAGAUCAAAACCGAUCGGCGUCCGGCUCCGGCCGGCGCCGUCUCUUUUGGUGACUCUGGAUAACUUUUAGCCGAUCGCACGGUCAUAGUACCGGCGACGCAUCUUUCAAAUGUCUGACUUAUCAACUGUCGAUGGUAGGCUCUGCGCCUACCAUGGUUGUAACGGGUAACGGGGAAUCAGGGUUCGAUUCCGGAGAGGGAGCCUGAGAAACGGCUACCACAUCCAAGGAAGGCAGCAGGCGCGCAAAUUACCCACUCCCGGCACGGGGAGGUAGUGACGAAAAAUAACGAUACGGGACUCAUCCGAGGCCCCGUAAUCGGAAUGAGUACACUUUAAAUACUUUAACGAGUACCAAUUGGAGGGCAAGUCUGGUGCCAGCAGCCGCGGUAAUUCCAGCUCCAAUAGCGUAUAUUAAAGUUGUUGCGGUUAAAAAGCUCGUAGUUGGAUCUGUGUGCCACGCUGUCGGUUCACCGCCCGUCGGUGUCAACUGGCAUGUCUGUGGGACGUCCUGCCGGUGGCGGUACGGGCUGCCGGCGCUGCGUAGGGGCACAACCCCGAAGCACGCCGGCGUGUCCCGGUCCGCCGAUCCAAUCCCGCCGCGGUGCUCUUCACUGAGUGUCGAGGUGGGCCGGCACGUUUACUUUGAACAAAUUAGAGUGCUCA